CUAGCCAAGUCAUAGACCUACAGGGACAAGAAGAGGUGCCUAGCCAAGUCAUAGACCUACAGGGACAAGAAGAGGUGCCUAGCCAAGUCAUAGACCUACAGGGACAAGAAGAGGUGCCUAGCUGAGUCAUAGAGCUACCAUGAGAAGAAGAGGUACCUAGCUGAGUCAUAGACCUACCGUGAGAAGAAGAGCUGCCUAGCCAAGUCAUAGACCUACAGGGACAAGAAGAGGUGCCUAGCCAAGUCAUAGACCUACCGUGAAAAGAAGAGGUGCCUAGCCAAGCCCAGACUAGAUCACCCAAACCCCAGCUGGCCAGCGGAUGGGGAAGUGAUAAUCGCUGAUUGUUGUUAAGCUGCUGAGACUUGAGAAGGUUUGUCACACAGCGAUAGCUAACUGCUAUAUCUACCCACUUGCCACAACAGUGUGAAGGAGUAGGUUUUACUACCAUAGGCCUUUGAAGAGCUAACUUAUGUAUUAAGUCUGGUUAAGUGUUCCUAAUUUCUGAGUUCCUAAUUUAAGGGAUAGUCGUCCCUCGUUUCAAGGGCAUUUCUAAAGGGCUAGAAGAAGGGAAGAGGAAAGAAUGCUUUCUGUGUGCUCAGCACAGCGCUCAAUGCUUUCGCCUGGGUCAAGUUACAUGGAAUCUGUUGACCAUGAAGGCGUCACAGGCCUCCCUCUGCCAG
Molecule: long non-coding RNA, 680 nt
Filed under: Equus caballus (horse)
Lineage: Eukaryota; Metazoa; Chordata; Mammalia; Perissodactyla; Equidae
Description: lncRNA (ENSECAG00000048043.1)
Source: RNAcentral